UGUCCCGUGGUGUAACUGGCAACACGUCGCACUCUGGAUGCGAAGAGUUCAGGUUCGACCCCUGACGGGACAACAA
This 76-nucleotide transfer RNA is filed under the name Ignavibacteriales bacterium CG_4_9_14_3_um_filter_30_11. Its description in RNAcentral is "tRNA-Gln". It matches the Rfam family "tRNA". From Rfam's summary of the family: Transfer RNA (tRNA) molecules are approximately 80 nucleotides in length. Lineage: Bacteria; Pseudomonadati; Ignavibacteriota; Ignavibacteria; Ignavibacteriales. The record is from RNAcentral.